AGAUCUAAUACCUAUUAUAAACACAUUCGUCCUUUCAUAUAAUUUUCCUGUUGCUCCGUAGUUACGUUCCCUAGAAGACAGGGAAUGGAAUGUUUUCUUCAGGAAAGAAUAAAUUCAUACUGUAGGUGUUAGUGCAGCUGCCUCUAUGGUAAUGAUGAAUGGUGAAUAUUGCCUAAUCUUCUGCCUGUGACUUUAUAUUGACAUCCCCUAUAUGCAGCAUGCCUGCUAACCUUUGAUUAAGAUUUUCUGUUCUGUUUCUGAAGUUGAUGGUGCUAAACUGGAGUAUGAACUGAUGGCUGGAGAGUAUGGUUUGGUUGUUAGAGUGAAUGGAUACAAUCAUAAGCUACUUGGAAGUCCUAGCAUCACCCUCAGCAAAGCUCAACAAAUCAUACCUUGAGCACUGUUUUCUACAUUAGUCAAAGGCCUAGAAUGCUUAGGUUUACGUUGGAAUUCAUUAAUUCAUAGUUCUGUGUGGUUAAUUUUAGGGUGCUGGUAGAAAAGAAGGCAGUCAUCUUGUUCUUCCUGUCUUGUCGUAACAUGGUGGCUUAAGGAGCCUGUCUUUUCAUCAGAAAUUUACCAUGCACUUCUUUGCGUGCUGAACAUAGAGAAUGCCAGCUCAAUAAUUAUAUGUGAGUUCAAUUCUCAAACUGCCAAAUAUUUUUGCUUUAUACUGAGUAACAGAACUAACGAUCGGGUGCCAAAGCUGUCGUGAAUUCAAGAAUUAAAAUAGUUAUCCUGCAUGUAUUUUUUCUUAGUUACUUGCAUUUCUUCUGUCAGCAGCACCUGUGUGCGUACUGUGAGGUUCAAAUUUGUUCUUAGAAGAUGAACAAAUGUUCAGAGCAAGUGUCAGCUGUGUCAAUCCCCUCCCACAGCUCACGUCCAGCUGCUUUGUUUCUUUCUAAUUGCCAGUGGUCUCACUCACACAUCAUGCUCUUUCUUCAUUGGUUCUUCUCAGUCUCUCUGGAAGGACGUGUUGUUUUUGACUGUCGUUCAGACUACUUUUGUUAGUUUCUUAAAAAAUAAAGCUGAGAAGGAGAGAUACUCAAUGCCUGCUGCUGCUCAGGUAAGGGUAAGUAGAUGAAAUUAACAUCGCAUGAGAUUGGUGUUAACCAACAAAAUUUGAUUUGGAAAGGAUAGCUUACUUGAGUUACAGCUUCUUUACAGCUGAAAAGAGCAAGAGAUGCCUGGAAUCUUCUUCAGCAGAUCAGUGGAAACCACCUUGCUUAAUCUUUUGAGGAAAAGACAGUAGCCAGUACUGGGUCCUGAUGUGCUAGCUGAGAAAUCCCAGGAAAUGAUCAGUUGCCAGAUGUUGCAGUAACACAGCUUCAAAGUUGAAACCUCUGCUGUUGUCGUCAUAAUCCACAAGUGUCAAACUUUGACUGCAUGAAGCUGGCACUGCAGGACUUGUGGAUACCUUUGUUAACCUGUGUGCUGUUCCCAGGGCAUCCAAAGCAACUGCAGCUGCCUCUGAAGUGCUCCUGUUGUAGCUGUUUGGGCACCAGCACCAGCAAAAUACCACUGAAUUCCAGGAAUCAGCUAUUGGUAGAGCUGUGAGUUUUGAACCUUGUCUCACACUCUGUUAUGUCAGAUCUUCCACAGUGCAGGCAUUCGCUUUGAUGACAGCUGCUGCACUUCAAUGAAUUCCACUUAUGCUGAACUAAGACACUGCCCCCCAGUACCUCCUAAAUUGAGACUCUCAAUGAAGAAAAGAGUGGGGAAAGGAUCCAGAAGAAACCAUCAGGAAGCAGUUCAUUUAGUAGCUCAAAUAAAUCUGAUUUAAGGACACGAGAGACACGUCUUACCUUUGGGCUGCUUUAAUUCAUGAAAUACAACGAUGUCGUGAGGAUUAUUGAGAUUUUCUGCUAAAACAGAGAUGUCCAAGCCACUCAGCCUGUUGGCACUGAAGAUUGCUUCAUUCUCCAGCAGCUGCCAUGCAGAGAUUUACCUGAACCAGCUCUGUGAAGCACCUCAGCAGUCCUAUGUAAGCUCUUACAGAGGCCCUUAUCUUUAGACAUUGAAACAGACUUUCUCUGAGGCACGGUCCCAUUCAACAGCUCUUGCAGCCCCUCUGUGAAUCCUGACAGAACAACAAAAUAGGAGUCUGGAAUACACCUAAUGCUGCUGGGCUGAGCACCCGGCCAUGCCUUGGGGCACAAAUGCUCCUUGGCAGACAGGUGCUGCACAGACAACUUGCAACAAAACCCUGCCUGAAAACACAACCCAGAGGGGCUGCCCUCCCCACCAAAGGAGAAUCCCCAGCCCUGCCCACACUCACGGCAGUCCUGCUCAUCAGACUUGUCCUUGCAGUCUUCGUCCCCAUCACACUUCCAGUUAAGGAGGAUGCAUUCGCCAUUGCCACACUGGAACUCGUGAGCAGCACAGGUGUUGAAGGCCUUGGCAUCGUAGCCACACCUCUCUACAGACUCAUCUGAAUGGUCCUCACAGUCUGCCUGGUUGUCACAGACCCACAGCUCUGGGAUGCACACGCUGUUGUUGCACUGGAACUCAUUGGGGCUGCAGGUCAGAGGGGAGCAUUUCCUUUCAUCGCUGCCAUCACCACAGUUGUUGUAACCAUCACACACGAAGUUGAUGGAGAUGCACGUCUUGUUACUGCACUGGAACUCAUCAGGAGAACAAGCUUGGGAAAAAAAAACAAAACAGAAAUAAAAUGAGCUGCUAAUCCUACUGAUCAGCACGUGGCUGUAUGAUUUCUUCAAGUGAUGAAUAAGAUGGAGCUACCAAAUGGAAAACUGAGCUAAAAUCCACAGGGCAUGCAAGGAUAAAGCAAAGUCUGCACCUUCCAGGCACUUGGGGACUUGCUCAAAUGGGCAGCAGAAGAGGAAAGCUGCUUACAAUCCCUGCACACCGAUGCAAGAGCCAACGUGUUCCUUGGGACCUCCUCUGCACCGUCUGAAGAACCUAAUAAAAAGCAGUGCUAAAAUUACCUUACAUAGGCAGCUGGAGAGAUGAGGAUGGGGGAAGUAAAGUCCCAGGGACAGCUUGCUUCACAUCUCCUUUCAUAAAUCUGUCAAGGUACCGGGGCAGUCCCAACACUACAGCAUUUCACUGCCUCCAGAGCAUUUUGAUAGAAAUGUCUUGAAUAAUAAUUAAAUGAGCACCAGGGUAUCUUUUCUUUGACGUGAGCAAUUUGCUUAUAUUCUCUGGUUCUUCUACCUGUUCUAUUAAGAGUAUGUCUGUAUGAAACAGAGGAUACAAAUAUUAGCCUUCCUCACUGCCAAAGAAAUUAAUAAAUGUCAUACCCUCAGAUGCAAAGUCUCCUUCAAGUAUGAAGUGAUCCCAGUAGAAAUACUAGAAACGUUUGGCAAGAAGAAGAGUUUUAACUCACUGGCUUCAAAGCAGUAAAUAAGCAUAAUUACAAAAGCCAUUUUGUAGGGUACAACAAUCCAUUAAGAUUCUUCAGGUGAUUUAGGAAGAAAACAUCACAUCUCAAUGAAUGCACACUUGCUUUGGCUUAUAGAGAACGUAUAGCAGAGGUACUCUGCAUUAGUUGCUGCCCUGUGCUAUAGUGCAACUGGCACAGCUUUUGCUGGGCAGCCCCCAGCUGCAGCCCUGUCACAUCUCCUGGAGGGUGGAGCAGCAGCAGCCUUUGGUUGGAGGAAGAGGCUGUGGUUGUGCAGUUGUGUUUUGGUUCUGUUUCUCUGCCCUGAGCCAGCAUUUAAGCAGAGGCUUUAAUGAGCGCUCCAGUACAGCAGCAACAAUCCUAGCUCACCAAAAAACGGAGAUAACUCUACCAGAAGCUUUUAAAGUGCUUAUAAAGAAAAGCAAAAUGCUGUAAAGACACAGGGCACACUUUAAGAACUGUAAUUUCAAAUAAAUCUCUGUAAUUCUACAAAGCGGAUCCUCAAAUCUGGAUAAAACUCCAUGUGUGACAUAAGCAGGAUAUCCAUCAUUAGUAGGAGCUGGGAAUGGUGUACAAUGGACUGCAACUGCUUCCGCUGCUAGCUUAAAUUAAGGAUUUGAAGCUUUUCAGUAAGAAUCUGAUAUUUUAAUACACUUUUUUUGUCAAAAAAAAAAAAAAGCAACUUAGCUCCUCUUGAAAUUAUACACAUGACUUGGAGAAAUAGAACUAUUUGGUAAAGUUUGUGGCAAAGUGGAUGACAGCAAUUACUGACACCAAAGAGAAGAAAAUAAGACAGAUGAUGGCACUGCAGCUUUCCCACACCCUUCCUGAGGCAACCAAAAAGAAACACAGUUCUUGUUUGCUUAAAUCCAACAGCGGAUUUUCUCAGGAAGGCAAGGGGUGAUUUGCACACACUAACAUUCGCAGUGGGGAAAGAGAGAUCUGCUGCUGAUUUAUCACAACUUGAACACUGGCCAGAGAAGCUGUGGACUCGGAAAGCCUUAAGCUGUGAGGUUUAGAAGUGAGCUCCAUCCACACGGCUGCGGCAGCGCAGUGCCUGAGCUCCAUGUGCCCAGGUACUGUGCAUAAAGACCUAAUCCUGCCGCCACAGCCCACAUACAUUAAUCUCCAAGCAGGACUGAGAUAAGGAGGUCACGGAGCCCAGACUGAAUUAAGUUGGAACUCCCAGCCCAGCUACCAACGCUGUCAGUGCAUUAGUUUGACUGAACUAGGAUUUAUUUCCAAGCUUCCGUGUACCUAUAUUGCUUGCUUUGUCUGCUGAAAUCGGUGCGGUUACCAAGCACCUGAAUAUCUGACACAGAUCUCAGGUCAAAUGUCAGCCUUUAAAGCACGGGUUCAUCCCUGGAAGGCCAAGUUUCCCAUGGAAAGCCGCCCUCCAGGAAGGGCAGGGACAGACAGAGGUAAAUGAAGACGACCUUGAAGCGCAUUGCUGGAAGAGCUGACAGGCCUCCCAUGGAGGGAAUAAUGCGGCUGAAUUGCAGUCUCACUGCUAACGGUGGUUGUUGCUAUGGUGAUUGAUACCGAAAAGCCCAUAUAGAUGAAGGCUGCAGAAGGAAUAAGUAAUUCCUGAUAUUGUUCAAAUCACUAAUGGAGCUAAGGAGCCAUUUCACGCACUCCUGCAAAUUAAGAUUUGCAUGCACUCGCUGCCUUCGCCACGCUGCUCCCCUCAAACACCAAGGAGUUAUUUUCCCCUUCACCAUGAUGGUAUUUGCGUAGUAUUGCUUCAUUACAAGGGAGCAACCAGAUGCCAAAGCUCCUGCUGACACAUAACCAGUGGUUCAGAAAUGUAUUUACUGUUACAGAAUAUAUAUUUCUGGACAAUCGUAUCUUCAUUCAAAGUGCUUUUCUGAAAGUAGAAUUAAUUAUGAGUUCAUAAUUUAUGAAUAGAAGCAGCUUAUGUAAAAAAGAUUUGCAUGCUCUGAACUUUCCCCAUUUAUAAUGUCAUUUGGGUGCAACGAGGCUGCAGAACUCAUUCCUUCAGACUCCUCAAUUUCACUCCCUACUGGAAAAGCGUGAGGAAGUUUAUCACAGGUUUUUCUGGUUAAAUGACAUCACAGUAAGAAGCGACAUCACCAGUAAGAGUCUGGUGUAGAGGAUUUAGGGGCAAAAUAAAGCGGCUUAGGGAAAAAAGGGAUGGUCAGAAUACCAAAGGUAUUGAGCAAAGGUAACCUUUGCUCAAAUCACAGCCACCCCACAGGGAUCUUGUGAGGAUAAAGACCUAUCAUUACUCCUUUAUAUUCUGAUUGAGAUGCAAUCAGCUGAAUCUGAACGGAGAUGUUUUGUACUUGCCAAAUUUAAAUGGAAAAAAAUAA
Molecule: long non-coding RNA, 5694 nt
Organism: Centrocercus urophasianus (Greater sage-grouse)
Lineage: Eukaryota; Metazoa; Chordata; Aves; Galliformes; Phasianidae
Exons: 8
Source: RefSeq, a predicted model, not a curated record